This 411-nucleotide ribosomal RNA is filed under the name Bacillota bacterium. RNAcentral's name for it is "Firmicutes bacterium partial 16S ribosomal RNA". It matches the Rfam family "Bacterial small subunit ribosomal RNA", at positions 355 to 776 of the family's 1533-position model. Lineage: Bacteria; Bacillati; Bacillota. The record is from RNAcentral.
UGGGGAAUAUUGCGCAAUGGGCGAAAGCCUGACGCAGCAACGCCGCGUGCGGGAUGACGGCCUUCGGGUUGUAAACCGCUUUCAGCAGGGACGAAGGGUUACCUUGACGGUACCUGCAGAAGAAGCACCGGCUAACUACGUGCCAGCAGCCGCGGUGAUACGUAGGGUGCGAGCGUUGUCCGGAAUUAUUGGGCGUAAAGAGCUUGUAGGCGGUCUGUUGCGUCGGAAGUGAAAACUCAGGGCUUAACCCUGAGCCUGCUUUCGAUACGGGCAGACUUGAGGGAUGUAGGGGAGAACGGAAUUCCUGGUGGAGCGGUGGAAUGCGCAGAUAUCAGGAGGAACACCAGUGGCGAAGGCGGUUCUCUGGACAUUUCCUGACGCUGAGAAGCGAAAGCGUGGGGAGCAAACAGG